Molecule: ribosomal RNA, 378 nt
Filed under: Pinnularia grunowii
Lineage: Eukaryota; Bacillariophyta; Bacillariophyceae; Sellaphorales; Pinnulariaceae
Description: SSU rRNA
Rfam family: Eukaryotic small subunit ribosomal RNA
Source: RNAcentral
AUUCCAGCUCCAAUAGCGUAUAUUAAAGUUGUUGCAGUUAAAAAGCUCGUAGUUGGAUUUGUGGCGGCAUCUGCGGUCCGAAUUGUUUUGGUACUGCGUGGUGUUGCCAUCUUUGGGUGGAACCUGUGGGGCAUUAGGUUGUUUUGCAGGGGAUAUCCAUCGUUUACUGUGAAAAAAUUAGAGUGUUCAAAGCAGGCUUACGCCGAUGAAUAUACUAGCAUGGAAUAAUGAAAUAGGACUUUGGUACUAUUUUGUUGGUUUGCGCACCAAAGUAAUGAUUAAUAGGGACAGUUGGGGGUAUUCGUAUUCCAUUGUCAGAGGUGAAAUUCUUGGAUUUUUGGAAGACGAACUACUGCGAAAGCAUUUACCAAGGAUGUU